Molecule: ribosomal RNA, 1121 nt
Filed under: Ascidiella aspersa
Lineage: Eukaryota; Metazoa; Chordata; Ascidiacea; Phlebobranchia; Ascidiidae
Description: SSU rRNA
Rfam family: Eukaryotic small subunit ribosomal RNA
Source: RNAcentral
UCUGGUUGAUCCUGCCAGUAGUCAUAUGCUUGUCUCAAAGAUUAAGCCAUGCAAGUCUAAGUACGAGCUCUCGUACAGUGAAACUGCGAAUGGCUCAUUAAAUCAGUUAUGGUUCAUUUGAUCGUACGUUUUACGUGGUUAACUGUGGAAAUGCUAGAGCUAAUACAUGCGUGAAGCGCCGACCUCGCGGGAGGCGUGCUUUUAUCAGACCAAAAACCGACCGGGCUUCGGCCCGCAACCUUUGGUGACUCUGGAUAACUUUGCGGAUCGCACGGUCUCGCACCGGCGACGGAUCAUUCAAGUGUCUGCCCUAUCAACUUUCGUCGGUACGGUACUGGCCUACCGAGGUUCUUACGGGUAACGGAGAAUCAGGGUUCGAUUCCGGAGAGGGAGCCUGAGAAACGGCUACCACAUCCAAGGAAGGCAGCAGGCGCGCAAAUUACCCAUUCCCGACGCGGGGAGGUAGUGACGAAAAAUAACAAUACAGGACUCUAAACGAGGCCCUGUAAUUGGAAUGAGUACACUUUAAAACCUUUAACGAGUAUCCAUUGGAGGGCAAGUCUGGUGCCAGCAGCCGCGGUAAUUCCAGCUCCAAAAGUGUAUAUUUAAGUUGUUGCGGUUAAAAAGCUCGUAGUUGGAUUUUGGGCGCAGGCGGCCGGUCCGUCGCAAGGCGUGUACUGGCCGUCCUGGCCUCACCUCCGGUUCUCCGCCGGUGCCCUUGACUGAGUGUCGGCGGCGGCCGGAACGUUUACUUUGAAAAAAUUAGAGUGUUCAAAGCAGGCGAUUCGCCUGAAUAAUGGUGCAUGGAAUAAUGGAAUAGGACCUCGGUUCUAUUUUGUUGGUUUUCGGAGCGCGAGGUAAUGAUUAAGAGGGACAGACGGGGGCAUUCGUACUGUGCCGUUAGAGGUGAAAUUCUUGGAUCGGCGCAAGACGAACGACUGCGAAAGCAUUUGCCAAGAAUGUUUUCUUUAAUCAAGAGCGAAAGUCAGAGGUUCGAAGACGAUCAGAUACCGUCCUAGUUCUGACUAUAAACGAUGCCAACUAGCGAUCGGGGGGCGUUAGUUUUACGACCUCUCCGGCAGCUUGCGGGAAACCAAAGUCUUUGGGUUCCGGGGGAAGUA